CGGGGGGGCAGCUACACAUGCAGUCGAGCGGAACGAGUUAACUGAACCUUCGGGGAACGUUAACGGCGUCGAGCGGCGGACGGGUGAGUAAUGCCUGGGAAAUUGCCCUGAUGUGGGGGAUAACCAUUGGAAACGAUGGCUAAUACCGCAUAAUAGCUUCGGCUCAAAGAGGGGGACCUUCGGGCCUCUCGCGUCAGGAUAUGCCCAGGUGGGAUUAGCUAGUUGGUGAGGUAAUGGCUCACCAAGGCGACGAUCCCUAGCUGGUCUGAGAGGAUGAUCAGCCACACUGGAACUGAGACACGGUCCAGACUCCUACGGGAGGCAGCAGUGGGGAAUAUUGCACAAUGGGCGCAAGCCUGAUGCAGCCAUGCCGCGUGUAUGAAGAAGGCCUUCGGGUUGUAAAGUACUUUCAGCAGUGAGGAAGGUGGUGUCGUUAAUAGCGGCAUCAUUUGACGUUAGCUGCAGAAGAAGCACCGGCUAACUCCGUGCCAGCAGCCGCGGUAAUACGGAGGGUGCGAGCGUUAAUCGGAAUUACUGGGCGUAAAGCGCAUGCAGGUGGUUUGUUAAGUCAGAUGUGAAAGCCCGGGGCUCAACCUCGGAAUUGCAUUUGAAACUGGCAGACUAGAGUACUGUAGAGGGGGGUAGAAUUUCAGGUGUAGCGGUGAAAUGCGUAGAGAUCUGAAGGAAUACCGGUGGCGAAGGCGGCCCCCUGGACAGAUACUGACACUCAGAUGCGAAAGCGUGGGGAGCAAACAGGAUUAGAUACCCUGGUAGUCCACGCCGUAAACGAUGUCUACUUGGAGGUUGUGGCCUUGAGCCGUGGCUUUCGGAGCUAACGCGUUAAGUAGACCGCCUGGGGAGUACGGUCGCAAGAUUAAAACUCAAAUGAAUUGACGGGGGCCCGCACAAGCGGUGGAGCAUGUGGUUUAAUUCGAUGCAACGCGAAGAACCUUACCUACUCUUGACAUCCUCAGAAGAGACUGGAGACAGUCUUGUGCCUUCGGGAACUGAGAGACAGUGCUGCAUGGCUGUCGUCAGCUCGUGUUGUGAAAUGUUGGGUUAAGUCCCGCAACGAGCGCAACCCUUAUCU
This 1090-nucleotide ribosomal RNA is filed under the name Vibrio maritimus. RNAcentral's name for it is "bacterial SSU rRNA". It matches the Rfam family "Bacterial small subunit ribosomal RNA", at positions 40 to 1110 of the family's 1533-position model. The record is from RNAcentral. Lineage: Bacteria; Pseudomonadati; Pseudomonadota; Gammaproteobacteria; Vibrionales; Vibrionaceae.